RNAcentral lists this ribosomal RNA (232 nucleotides) under uncultured bacterium. RNAcentral describes it as "partial 16S ribosomal RNA". It matches the Rfam family "Bacterial small subunit ribosomal RNA", at positions 118 to 346 of the family's 1533-position model. The record is from RNAcentral.
UGAGGAACAUGACCUUCGGCGGGGGAUAGCCGGCCCAACGGCCGGGUAAUACCGCGUACGACCACAUGGGGACAUCCCUGAGUGGUGAAAGCAGCAAUGCGCCGAGUGGAGUGCCUCGCGGCCUAUCAGCUAGUUGGUGAGGUAACGGCUCACCAAGGCGACGACGGGUAGCUGGUCUGAGAGGAUGGCCAGCCACAUUGGGACUGAGACACGGCCCAGAUCCCGUACGGGG